RNAcentral lists this non-coding RNA (30 nucleotides) under Mus musculus (house mouse). Lineage: Eukaryota; Metazoa; Chordata; Mammalia; Rodentia; Muridae. The record is from RNAcentral.
UGAGUGACCUUGAGCAAAUCAAAUUUCAGU